UACGUAGGUGGCGAGCGUUGUCCGGAAUUACUGGGCGUAAAGAGCGCGCAGGCGGCUGGUCAAGUCCGAUGUGAAAGCUCCCGGCUUAACUGGGAAAUUGCAUCGGAAACUGAUCGGCUGGAAGGUGGGAGAGGGUAGCGGAAUUCCCGGUGUAGUGGUGAAAUGCGUAGAUAUCGGGAGGAACACCAGUGGCGAAAGCGGCUACCUGGCCCAUUCUUGACGCUGAGGCGCGAAAGCUAGGGGAGCAAACGGG
RNAcentral lists this ribosomal RNA (253 nucleotides) under uncultured bacterium. Its description in RNAcentral is "partial 16S ribosomal RNA". It matches the Rfam family "Bacterial small subunit ribosomal RNA", at positions 524 to 776 of the family's 1533-position model. The record is from RNAcentral.